RNAcentral lists this microRNA precursor (127 nucleotides) under Cavia aperea (Brazilian guinea pig). RNAcentral describes it as "miRNA (ENSCAPG00000004090.1)". Lineage: Eukaryota; Metazoa; Chordata; Mammalia; Rodentia; Caviidae. The record is from RNAcentral.
GGCGUCCCUAUACAGUUCAGGCUGGCCUUGAACUCACUGUGUAGCCCAGGCUGGUCUCAAACUCAUAAUGAUCCUCCUGCCUCUGCCUCCCGAGUGCUGGGAUUACAGGCAUGAGCCACCAUGCCCG